Molecule: transfer RNA, 97 nt
Filed under: Candidatus Poseidoniaceae archaeon
Lineage: Archaea; Methanobacteriati; Thermoplasmatota; Candidatus Poseidoniia; Candidatus Poseidoniales; Candidatus Poseidoniaceae
Description: tRNA-Arg(tcg)
Source: RNAcentral
AUACGGCCCUUGUCUGUAUUGAUGAAGAUAUCACGGUUUUCGGUGUCGUGUCGGAUGGAAACUUCCGAUGGGAUGGUUCCACGACGUCGGCUGUUUU